CGUAUUUUUUCCUCUCGAUCCAGUUGCUUCCUCGAUCUAGGAAAUCCUAGGGCGUGGUCUUGGACGCCGCCGCCGCCAGUGCCUCUUGAUCCUCCCGACGCCAUCCUGUCCUCGCGCCGCCAUCCUAUCCUCGUAAUCUAGGGUCCUCUCCUCGCCGCCGCCGCCCUAUAUCGGCCUCGAUCUUUGUCUAGAACUCUAGGGUUCUACACCGCCGCCGCCGCCGCCGCCGAACCAGGGAGACGCCGAUGACCGUUGCCGCCGUCGUGGAUCACCAGGAUGCCGCCGCCUGCACCGCCACCGCCGCGGCGUCGCGGCUGGCGUUGGCGAAUCCAUUCCCACUUUCCCAGAGGCGGCGGCUUCCGGCGAGGAGGCGAGCGAGCUCAGGGAGCUCUGGCGGGGGCUUGUCGCCGGUGAGGCGAGGCCAAGGUGGCGGCGCGCGGACGCGAGGAGGCGGGAUGGAGGAGGCGCAGGAGGACGCCGGCCGGUGGGGCUCCGGCGGGGGAUUGGCGAGGGCGACGGCGGUCGGCGUGCUUGCUUGGGAGGAUGGAGGCUGCCUCGCUGGGGCUCGGGCACGGCAGCACGGCGUUGGGCCGUUGCCGAUGGCGCCAGGGCCAGGGCGGUGGUUUGACGGGCGACGAGGAGGAGGUGCUAUCCUAGAGCCAGCAACGGCGGCUGCAGCUUGACGAUGCGGGCGUCAACAGCUUGCUUCAGGGGCUGCCGUGAACGGCGUUGUGCUCGCGCGCGAGACCCGUGUCUGAUUUGGAAAGAAUCAAUCCGGUGAAGAAGAAGGCCAAUGCAACUGCUCUCUAGCUAGGCACUGGAGUAUCUGCACCCCCAAUGGAAUGGUACGAAUUGCUACUGGUACUGAACAUUGACAGGCAAGCAACAACAAACAGACUUUGCUGUUUUCAGUCUACUGAGAUAUUUGUUGGGCAUCACCGAGGAACGCCAGCAAAGGCGUGAAGAAAUACUCGCAAUCAGUGUGACAUGUCGUGUGAGAUGAAGGUGGCAAACCAUCCAAACUUGAAGCCAAGCAUGUGGUGGAUCCGCCAUGGAUGAUGGAUGGACCGGUGAGUGUUGAAGUUUGAGCUGUGAAACUUUAUGCGAUCGAGCUCCUGGUGUAAUUAAGCAUAUGGCUUUUGUGAUGUGUCAUGUAGGUAGUGAUUGCCUAUAUUUCUUUCCCUCUUAAAUUUGUUGUAAUAAAGUUGUCCUUUGCAGAAGGAAGAUUGAACCGCCUUUUGGUUUAGGUAGAAGCACCCAUUGAUGUUGGAGAAGUUUUAGAAGAAAUGCAAGAGAAGGAUGUAGUUCUAGGGUGGUCCGCAUAUAGUAGGAAGGAUGUGAACAAAAAUGCAAGAGAAGGAUGUAGUUCUAGGGUGGUCCGCAUAUAGUGUGUGUGUGUGUCCCCUGUUUUGUUAUUUAGGCUUCAUUAUUCUACAAAAUAUAUUUAUUACUUUGAUUACUCAGAUUACCACAAAAUAUAUAAGUUGUUUAGGCUUAUAUUUUGUUAUUAUUCUACAAAAUAUAUAAGUUGUUUGGGCAUAUACAAUAACUUACCGCAAAAUAUAUUUUGUUAUUUAGGCUUCAUUAUUCUACAAUUUCUGGCAAAUCAAUAAACAUGCCAUACAUAAGUUGUUUUUGAACCCCAAAAAUAUAUAUAUGUCCCCUGUUGCAACUUACAACCUCUUUUCCUUUAUUUCCUUUCUUAAUAUUAAAGGGAGGUGAGUUUCUUUAAAAAGUUUACAUUGUUUAUAAAAUUUUAAAACCAUGGGAAAGUAGUGCAUCAGGGAAGGUUCACCACUAGACCCCCUGAUUGCAACAAAACAUCCUUUAUGCUGAUUAUUUUUGGUAAUUAUGUAUUUAACAAAGCUCUCGUGUUUUGCUGGCGCAUGCCGUUUGUUCCUCUGCAAGUGCCACUUCGCUGCAACCACUCUGUCAUUCAUGAAGAAUGUGAAGGCAAGGCUCCAUUCAAGGGAGCGCGGCUAGCAACUAGGCCCUCUAGGUGGACGCGAUCUUGAGCAGCAAAGAGCAGAUGGUCCGACAAGGCGAGCGUGAUUGCAGGCAACUGUUACACAUGUCGAGUUUGCUGACGAGAUUUCUGUUCAAAAGGCGAGCGCGAGGCCACCACAAGGUGGACUGGCGGAUUGCUCUAAAAUUGUUGUACAUGCAAGAACAGAGCAUUCGCGUUCCUGUUUGCCGACGGGGCCAACGACGAGCUGAGCUUGCUGUAGGCGGUGGAGGCGCACACGUUCCCGCACCUGUUUGCCGAGAUGAAGAAGAAAGUUGACCUCGCGCCCGCUGCCAUUAUCUCUGCAAAGGCCUCUGACAGUUCGGUGCUCAAAUCAAUUGAUGCCAACAGACCAGUGAGGCGCAAAAACUGAAUGCAGGCGCAAGAACACUGACUUCAGGAACAGAGCAUUCGCAUUUCCGUUUACCGACGGUGCCAACGACGAGUUGACCUCGCUGUAAGCGAUGGAGGCGCACGCGUUCCCGCACCAGUUCGCCGAGAUGAAGAAAGUUGGCCUCGCGCCCGCUCCCAUUAUCUCUGCGAGGGCCUCUGACAGUUCGGUGCUCAAAUCAAUUGACGCAAACAGACCAGUGAGGCACAAAAACUUUAUAUUUGCUGCUGUCAAAGAAUGAGAGACAAACAUUAUCAUUGCACUGAAUGCAACUUGUAAAUAGGAAAUUUAAUAUGUCAUCAUCUCUUGUAGGGGGUGAAAACCGUUUCAUUUAUAAAUCAGAUAUGAAGUGCUAGAGCAAUGAGAAUGAAGAGAGUGAAAGUAGAGGAGAGGAGGGCUGGUUUGUUUGUUUGUUCCUUUUUAUCAGUCAUGUACUAUGGAAUGUUCUAUAUAAGUUUUUUGUCCAAUGGUUGCGCGUGCAGUAUUAAAACCAGUCAAUCAAUCCUUUUUAUGAUGAAUUUAAGAGUUUUUAUCUUGAAAGCAGUCUUAUAACAUCUAUUUUAUUUUUGGACUCUUGAAUUGUAGGGUCUAUGUCAGUGAUGUGAUGCUUACAUGUUCUAUGAUGUUUUUCUAACACACCGUCCAUGCUUUCUUGACAGGAAACAGAGAAGUGGCCGGAUGGGCAAUCAACUCAUCUGUUAAUUGGAUUGGGGGUGGCAUGAACAAAGUAAAGAUGAAGAAAGCAAGCUUGGACGCUAGGUGGCGGCACCAACAGGGGAAGUGUCAGGCGUGAACCAAACAUCUAUGGCUUGUUGCUUUGAAUCUUGCUGGUCUAGGCAAGGUUUUUUGUAAACAUCUGCAAGAGACAAGACUCAGCCCAUUACAUAGGUGGCGACAAGUGUACAUGAAAUGAACAGCGAGCAGUUAAGAACUCAUUUGCAUAGCAUGGUUUACCUCAUCAGAAUCACCAAUUUCAUGGCUGCAUAUGAUCUUAAAAGCUGUUGCAAGUUUCAAAAGGUCCCAGUUCUCACAGUCAAUGCCAGAAACAUUCUUAAGGUGGCGACCAAUAGCUUGAAAGUUUUCAUACUGUUUCUUCUCAAAAGCAUCACAAUCAAACAAGACAGAUGCAGUCGCAACAAUCUGCUCAUUGACCUGGAUACAAAGAGGUUGCCAUCACUGAAACAAGAAUGCAAUGCCAUUUUAUUCUACAAAAUAUUGCGUCCAAAGGUUUGGUCUGUGAAAUGAAGGAUACCAAGUCUAUUCGCACAAGAUAUUGCAAAAUGUGACACUAAAUGACAGGGAGUUCCAAAUAAAGCAAAAGCAUGGCAGCUGGUAACUCACCAUCUCUUGUUUGAUGUCAAAGCCAUAAUGACUCAAUAGCUUUUGUAGUCCUUGACUCACAGGGAGGCGAUCCUCUUUAGGCAGCUCUACCAAACUAUGCAUGUGAUGCUUCAUGCCCCACAUUAGCUCCAUCACAAUUUCAUCAUGCAAGCAGGGUAUUCUCUGAAAAGCGUAACAUAAAAAAUGGCGCUCAAAGUUGUUCUCAAAUGUCAAAUAUAAGGAAACAAGGAGCUUACACUCA
Molecule: long non-coding RNA, 3978 nt
Organism: Triticum aestivum (bread wheat)
Lineage: Eukaryota; Viridiplantae; Streptophyta; Magnoliopsida; Poales; Poaceae
Exons: 8
Source: RefSeq, a predicted model, not a curated record